Molecule: ribosomal RNA, 492 nt
Filed under: uncultured bacterium
Lineage: Bacteria
Description: partial 16S ribosomal RNA
Rfam family: Bacterial small subunit ribosomal RNA
Source: RNAcentral
GAUGAACGCUAGCUCCAGGCUUAACACAUGCAAGUCGAGGGGAAACGGCAUUGAGUGCUUGCACUCUUUGGACGUCGACCGGCGCACGGGUGAGUAACGCGUAUCCAACCUUCCCAUUACUGUGGGAUAACCUGCCGAAAGGCAGACUAAUACCGCAUAGUCUUCGAUGACGGCAUCAGAUUUGAAGUAAAGAUUUAUCGGUAAUGGAUGGGGAUGCGUCUGAUUAGCUUGUUGGCGGGGUAACGGCCCACCAAGGCGACGAUCAGUAGGGGUUCUGAGAGGAAGGUCCCCCACAUUGGAACUGAGACACGGUCCAAACUCCUACGGGAGGCAGCAGUGAGGAAUAUUGGUCAAUGGACGGAAGUCUGAACCAGCCAAGUAGCGUGCAGGAUGACGGCCCUAUGGGUUGUAAACUGCUUUUGUAUGGGGAUAAAGUUAGGGACGUGUCCCUAUUUGCAGGUACCAGACGAAUAAGGACCGGCUAAUUCCGUG